Molecule: ribosomal RNA, 481 nt
Filed under: uncultured bacterium
Lineage: Bacteria
Description: bacterial SSU rRNA
Rfam family: Bacterial small subunit ribosomal RNA
Source: RNAcentral
AACUAACGCUGGCGGCGUGCCUAACACAUGCAAGUCGUACGAGAAAGUUGGCUUCGGCCGAUGAGUAAAGUGGCGCACGGGUGAGUAAUGCGUGGAUAAUCUGCCCUUUAGUUGGGAAUAACGUACCGAAAGGUGCGCUAAUACCUGAUAAUACUGCAUAACUACUGUUGUGUAGUCAAAGAAGGCCUCUGUUUACAAGCUUUUGCUGAAGGAUGAGUCCGCGUACCAUUAGCUGGUUGGUGGGGUAAUGGCCUACCAAGGCUACGAUGGUUAGCUGGUCUGAGAGGAUGAUCAGCCACACUGGAACUGAGACACGGUCCAGACUCCUACGGGAGCAGCAGUGAGGAAUAUUGCGCAAUGGGGCAACCCUGACGCAGCAACGCCGCGUGAGUGAGGAAGGUUUUCGGACCGUAAAGCUCUGUCGAGCGGGAAGAAAUGUAUCAUGGCUAAUAUCCAUGAUACUUGACGGUACCGCUAAAGG